GAGUGCAGGCGGUUUCUUAAGUCUGAUGUGAAAGCCUUCGGCUCAACCGAAGAAGUGCAUCGGAAACUGGGAGACUUGAGUACAGAAGAGGGCAGUGGAACUCCAUGUGUAGCGGUGGAAUGCGUAGAUAUAUGGAAGAACACCAGUGGCGAAGGCGGCUGCCUGGUCUGUAACUGACGCUGAGACUCGAAAGCAUGGGUAGCGAACAGGAUUAGAUACCCUGGUAGUCCAUGCCGUAAACGAUGAGUGCUAGGUGUUGGAGGGUUUCCGCCCUUCAGUGCCGGAGCUAACGCAUUAAGCACUCCGCCUGGGGAGUACGACCGCAAGGUUGAAACUCAAAGGAAUUGACGGGGGCCCGCACAAGCGGUGGAGCAUGUGGUUUAAUUCGAAGCUACGCGAAGAACCUUACCAGGUCUUGACAUCUUGCGCCAACCCUAGAGAUAGGGCGUUCCCUUCGGGGACGCAAUGACAGGUGGUGCAUGGUCGUCGUCAGCUCGUGUCGUGAG
RNAcentral lists this ribosomal RNA (506 nucleotides) under uncultured bacterium. Its description in RNAcentral is "bacterial SSU rRNA". It matches the Rfam family "Bacterial small subunit ribosomal RNA", at positions 567 to 1071 of the family's 1533-position model. The record is from RNAcentral.